AAAAGAUCUUUACCAAUCCUACAACAGAUAGAGGCCUUAUAUCCAAAAUAUACAAAGAACUCAAGAAGUUAGACCGCAGGGAAACAAAUAACCCUAUUAAAAAAUGGGGUUCAGAGCUAAACAAAAAAUUCACAGCUGAGGAAUGCCGAAUGGCUGAGAAACACCUAAAGAAAUGUUCAACAUCUUUAGUCAUAAGGGAAAUGCAAAUCAAAACAACCCUGAGAUUUCACCUCACACCAGUGAGAAUGGCUAAGAUCAAAAACUCAGGGGACAACAGAUGCUGGCGAGGAUGUGGAGGAAGAGGAACACUCCUCCAUUGUUGGUGGGAUUGCAAACUGGUACAACCAUUCUGGAAAUCAGUCUGGAGAAUCCUCAGAAAAUUGGACAUUGAACUGCCUGAGGAUCCAGCUAUACCUCUCUUGGGCAUAUACCCAAAAGAUGCCUCAACAUAUAAAAGAGACACGUGCUCCACUAUGUUCAUUGCAGCCUUAUUUAGAAUAGCCAGAAGCUGGAAAGAACCCAGAUGCCCUUCAACAGAGGAAUGGAUACAGAAAAUAUGGUACAUCUACACAAUGGAAUAUUACUCAGCUAUCAAAAACAACUUUAUG
This 608-nucleotide long non-coding RNA is filed under the name Rattus norvegicus (Norway rat). RNAcentral describes it as "long non-coding RNA NONRATT030003". The record is from RNAcentral. Lineage: Eukaryota; Metazoa; Chordata; Mammalia; Rodentia; Muridae.